GCGGCCGCCGCGCUUCUGCUCUCGGUGUCCCGGACUUCAGGAGCCACACAGGACAGUUGACCCAACACUUCUGCCACCUGAAGAACGACACCUGCAUUCCUCCAUCUCUGGGACCACCAAGGAACUCAGGGAGCUUGGAAUCUCUCAGAUCAAAAAGAUACUGACUCAUCGGAUAGCCAUGCCAUCCUGAAAACGGCCUUACUUGUGUGUACAUUAUUUGCAACAAGCAACAAGUUUAUAAGCACUUUGGUAAAAUUGCAUGUGAGGGUUAAAAUAUUAAAGUCAGUGCGUCAACUUGAAAUAAAUGAUGAGUUAU
Molecule: small RNA, 316 nt
Filed under: Pan troglodytes (chimpanzee)
Lineage: Eukaryota; Metazoa; Chordata; Mammalia; Primates; Hominidae
Description: processed transcript
Source: RNAcentral